Molecule: ribosomal RNA, 460 nt
Filed under: uncultured bacterium
Lineage: Bacteria
Description: partial 16S ribosomal RNA
Rfam family: Bacterial small subunit ribosomal RNA
Source: RNAcentral
CCUACGGGGGGCUGCAGUGAGGAAUAUUGGUCAAUGGACGAGAGUCUGAACCAGCCAAGUAGCGUGAAGGAUGACUGCCCUAUGGGUUGUAAACUUCUUUUAUAAAGGAAUAAAACGUGGCACGUGUGCCUUUUUGCAUGUACUUUAUGAAUAAGGAUCGGCGAACUCCGUGCCAGCAGACGCGGUAAUACGGAGGAUCCGAGGGUUAUCCGGAUUGAUUGGGUUUAAUGGGAGCGUAGAUGGGUUGUUAAGUCAGUUGUGAAAGUUUGUGGCUCAACCGUAAAAUUGCAAUUGAUACUGGCAGUCUUGAGUACAGUUGAGGUAGGCGGAAUGCGUGGUGUAGCGGUGAAAUGCUUAGAUAUCACGAAGAACCCCGAUUGCGAAGGCAGGUUACUAAACUGUGACUGACAUUGAUGCUCGAAAGUGUGGGUAUCAAACAGGAUUAGAUACCCGAGUAGUC